AACGCACAUUGCGCCCCUUGGUAUUCCGAAGGGCAUGUCUGUUUGAGCGUCAUUUCCACACUCGUCCGCUCCGGUUUUGUCCCGGCAGCGGUGCGGUCUUGGGGCGCCCGUCCGGUCAGAACUUCUGACCCGGCCUGGUCCCUUAAAUUUGUGGUCCACUACCGCUUUGGCCUGAACGAACCUGAUAACUUUUUAUUGGAACGUGAAGACCUGCGCGUUGGCAGAAUCAUAAACAACCCUAAGGCUUGACCUCAGAUCAGACAAGGAUACCCGCUGAACUUAA
RNAcentral lists this unclassified non-coding RNA (283 nucleotides) under uncultured Ascomycota. RNAcentral describes it as "sequence contains 5.8S rRNA gene, ITS2, 28S rRNA gene". The record is from RNAcentral. Lineage: Eukaryota; Fungi; Ascomycota.